CCUACGGGAGGCAGCAGUGAGGAAUAUUGGUCAAUGGACGAGAGUCUGAACCAGCCAAGUAGCGUGAAGGAUGACUGCCCUACGGGUUGUAAACUUCUUUUAUAAAGGAAUAAAACGAGGCACGUGUGCCUUUUUGCAUGUACUUUAUGAAUAAGGAUUGGCUAACUCCGUGCCAGCAGCCGCGGUAAUACGGAGGAUCCGAGCGUUAUCCGGAUUUAUUGGGUUUAAAGGGAGCGUAGAUGGGUUGUUAAGUCAGUUGUGAAAGUUUGCGGCUCAACCGUAAAAUUGCAAUUGAUACUGGCAGUCUUGAGUACAGGUGAGGUAGGCGGAAUUCGUGGUGUAGCGGUGAAAUGCUUAGAUAUCACGAAGAACCCCGAUUGCGAAGGCAGCUUACCAAACUGUGACUGACAUUGAUGCUCGAAAGUGUGGGUAUCAAACAGGAUUAGAUACCCCAGUAGUC
RNAcentral lists this ribosomal RNA (460 nucleotides) under uncultured bacterium. RNAcentral describes it as "partial 16S ribosomal RNA". It matches the Rfam family "Bacterial small subunit ribosomal RNA", at positions 338 to 795 of the family's 1533-position model. The record is from RNAcentral.